UGGUCCACAUUCCCAGAGGGAUUAAGAAUAGGAAAGUUUUGGCUAGUGCAAUCCAGUGGUGAGCUGAGAUCAAACCCCAGUUUAGGAAACAUGGUUGUUCUCCAUGUGGAUGACUCUGUGCCGAAAACAUGGGGACAAUG
Erinaceus europaeus (western European hedgehog) is the source of this 140-nucleotide non-coding RNA. The record is from Rfam. Lineage: Eukaryota; Metazoa; Chordata; Mammalia; Eulipotyphla; Erinaceidae.